UUCCUCCAUUUCAUUUCAAACCGGCGAGCGGGCAGGUGUGGAGUGUUGCUGCAGGUGUGGACUGCCGGCGACCUGCGUGACCAAAGGAAGGUUUGGGGUGAGGUGAGCAGUGGAAAGUGUUGAAGCAGAGGAAAGGCUCCAGGUGUGUGGCAGAAGAAAACAAGAAGCAAGAACAGUUAAGAUGAACAUUAGCCGCACCACAGAGCUGUUACUGCUGGCACCACCACCAUCACCACCACCAACACCACCACCCUGCCAAGUGGACACCCCAGUGUGAGCAGAGCCAUCAACACCAGCCUGAGGACUAAUUGCUUAUGUACCAGAGGAGUGUGACAGUCUACCAAAGAAAACAAGAAGCAAGAACAGUUAAGAUGAACAUUAGCCGCACCACAGAGCUGUUACUGCUGGCACCACCACCAUCACCACCACCAACACCACCACCACCACCACCACCCUGCCAAGUGGACACCCCAGUGUGAGCAGAGCCAUCAACACCAGCCUGAGGACUAAUUGCUUAUGUACCAGAGGAGUGUGACAGUCUACCAAUACCUUGGAAGGAAGGUGAUGGUGAGGAACAGUGAAGAAAGGUGACAGAGCAGAAACAGGCCCACACCAUCCUGGAAUGUGCUGCAAACAAUCUUGGUUACCGGCAAAGUAAAGAGAUACAGAGAUAGAUAGAUACAGAGA
Scylla paramamosain (green mud crab) is the source of this 687-nucleotide long non-coding RNA. RefSeq lists it as uncharacterized. The record is from RefSeq and is a predicted model, not a curated record. The transcript is spliced from 5 exons. Lineage: Eukaryota; Metazoa; Arthropoda; Malacostraca; Decapoda; Portunidae.